This 419-nucleotide long non-coding RNA is filed under the name Medicago truncatula (barrel medic). RNAcentral describes it as "long non-coding RNA (MTRU_LNC006952)". The record is from RNAcentral. Lineage: Eukaryota; Viridiplantae; Streptophyta; Magnoliopsida; Fabales; Fabaceae.
CGUGUACAAAAAAUUUCCUUUCACUUUGAGUCCUCCUGAACUUCUUGCAGCCAUGCUUCUUCACAUAUUUCUUAAUAAAUAUAUCUACUGAUUUUGAGCAGUCCCAAACCUUGUUCUCUAAACUUCAACAUGGAAAAUUUCAAACCAAUAGAAAUUUGAUGAAUAGAUCAGGAAAUUCGAAACAUAACAAGAAAGUAAAAAAAAAAGAAAUAAAAUUAGAAACUCACCAACCGAAAUUAGGGUUUGGAUUUGGACAAAGUGCAAUGAUUAAUGAUGGUUAAAACAUGAACCGAAACAAAAGAAUAUUGGCCGAAAUUUGAAAUUGUUUUGAGAGAUGAGUAGAGUGGGAUUAUAAAAUGCUUCAAGUGAUGAGUGUAUUAUGUUGCUUCAACUUAGAUUAUAUAAUAAAGGCCUUAGCU